Long non-coding RNA from Quercus robur (English oak), 1067 nucleotides. RefSeq lists it as uncharacterized. The transcript has 2 exons. Lineage: Eukaryota; Viridiplantae; Streptophyta; Magnoliopsida; Fagales; Fagaceae. The record is from RefSeq and is a predicted model, not a curated record.
UCAAGAGCUCAUUUAACGAGCAUGUCUUUAAUGUUUCUUAUCUAUUCUUCAUCAUGUACAAAAGUCAGCAUUAGUAAUUGGGUUGGUUGGCUUAGGCGUGUCCAACAUGCUGAAGAAAGAAAAGAAAGAAGCAAAAGCAAGAGUUAUUCUGCUAUGGCAGUGCUGAAAGGAAAAAGGAAAGAAACAAGCAAGGCCAUUCGGCCAAUGAGAGCUAAAGAAAGAGAUUUUGGUUGAAGCAAAGUCAAAAUAAGUGGCUUGCACUUAUUGUGACUUGAUGUGAAGAGUGUGAAAGGGAGAAAAGAAGAAAAGGUGAAAGAAAUAAAAGGGUAGAGGCCAUUCGGCCAUUUGGGCAGAGGAAGAAAAGAAGUGAAGUCCCAAGAGUGUGGUGAGGACUAGUGCAGUCUUGAAGAACUGCGUGAGUGAGAGCCAGCAAGAGAGAAGAGAAAAAUAGAGAGAGUAAGAGAAAAUACACAGUGAGGAAGAAAGCAGUCAGGGGUUCAUUUGAACCCCUGCGCAUAACCUGCGGCUGAUCCUACCUUCAACCCCAUUUCAAUGGACCUAUGGAGUACCUACACAUGACAUACCACAACUCUAUCAGUUUUACUACUGGCUUGACAUUUUCCUUUACCAAAGUGCUAGGGUAGAAUCUCUUGAGAGUUAGACUGAGCUUUCUAAUCAUUCAUCGUUAGAAAGCUCUAGUCUUCCUCUUAGGAGUUCCUCUCACUCUCGCUUCCACAAUCUUCACCGUUCAUAGUCUCCUUGAAGUCACUAAACCUUUUUGUUGAGUUUUACUACGUCAUACACCUUAUGUUCGGUUAAACACACAAAACGGUGGUAGAGAUUCCACUAGUGACUUGUCAACAGAUCAACAUCAAGUGAUAAGGAAGGAGGUAAUGACCUACUACCAUGACCAUCAUUCCCCUCGAUAUUUUAAUUUUGUUGUUGUGUAUUAUGAUGCCGUAGAUUGAAUUAGUUGAGUGUGUGUUUUGUGAUUAUGUUUGGAGUCUCACAUCAAGAUUUAUUGUGCUGAUCUAAGUUUUAGAAAUAACUACAAAGAACUUCAAAUG